UGCGGGGUCGUCUAAUGGUAGUGACGCCUCCCUUUGGAGGAGGAUGUGAAGGUUCGACUCCUUCCCCCGCAG
RNAcentral lists this transfer RNA (72 nucleotides) under bacterium. RNAcentral describes it as "tRNA-Gln". It matches the Rfam family "tRNA". Rfam says of the family: Transfer RNA (tRNA) molecules are approximately 80 nucleotides in length. Their secondary structure includes four short double-helical elements and three loops (D, anti-codon, and T loops). The record is from RNAcentral.